AGAGAGGUAACAUAAUUAAUUGUAUUUUGUUUACACCAAAAAAGUGGUCUUAGCCCCUUUCUU
Molecule: transfer RNA, 63 nt
Filed under: Hiatella sp. J HML-2015
Lineage: Eukaryota; Metazoa; Mollusca; Bivalvia; Adapedonta; Hiatellidae
Also listed under: 1 other name
Description: tRNA-Val
Source: RNAcentral